AUACGGAGGGUGCAAGCGUUACUCGGAAUCACUGGGCGUAAAGCGCGCGCAGGCGGCUAUUUAAGUUGGAUGUGAAAGCCUACGGCUCAACCGUAGAACUGCAUCCAAAACUAUUUAGCUAGAGUGUGGGAGAGGAAGACGGAAUUAGUUGUGUAGGGGUAAAAUCCGUAGAGAUAACUAGGAAUACCAAAAGCGAAGGCAAUCUUCUGGAACACUACUGACGCUGAGGCGCGAAAGCGUGGGGAGCAAACGGGAUUAGAAACCCCAGUAGUCC
RNAcentral lists this ribosomal RNA (274 nucleotides) under uncultured bacterium. RNAcentral describes it as "partial 16S ribosomal RNA". It matches the Rfam family "Bacterial small subunit ribosomal RNA", at positions 523 to 796 of the family's 1533-position model. The record is from RNAcentral.